GAGUUUGAUCCUGGCUCAGGAUGAACGCUAGCGACAGGCUUAACACAUGCAAGUCGAGGGGCAGCGGGGGAGUAGCAAUACUCCCGCCGGCGACCGGCGCACGGGUGAGUAACACGUAUGAAACCUGCCCGUAGCAGGGGGAUAAGCGGAAGAAAUUCCGUCUAAUACCGCGUAACAACCCAUGGAGGCAUCUCCGUGGGUUUAAAGGAAGCGAUUCCGGCUACGGAUGGUCAUGCGUCGCAUUAGCUAGUUGGCGGGGUAACGGCCCACCAAGGCGACGAUGCGUAGGGGUUCUGAGAGGAAGGUCCCCCACACUGGUACUGAGACACGGACCAGACUCCUACGGGAGGCAGCAGUGAGGAAUAUUGGUCAAUGGCCGCAGGGCUGAACCAGCCAAGUCGCGUGAGGGAUGACGGUCCUAUGGAUUGUAAACCUCUUUUGUCAGGGAGCAAAGGGCGCCACGUGUGGCGCUUUGCGAGUACCUGAAGAAAAAGCAUCGGCUAACUCCGUGCCAGCAGCCGCGGUAAUACGGAGGAUGCGAGCGUUAUCCGGAUUUAUUGGGUUUAAAGGGUGCGCAGGCGGAAUGUCAAGUCAGCGGUAAAAUUUCGGGGCUCAACCCCGUCGUGCCGUUGAAACUGGCGUUCUUGAGUGAGCGAGAAGUAUGCGGAAUGCGUGGUGUAGCGGUGAAAUGCAUAGAUAUCACGCAGAACUCCGAUUGCGAAGGCAGCAUACCGGCGCUCAACUGACGCUCAUGCACGAAAGCGUGGGUAUCGAACAGGAUUAGAUACCCUGGUAGUCCACGCAGUAAACGAUGAAUACUAACUGUCCGGGCAGAAUGAUGCCUGGGUGGUACAGCGAAGGCGUUAAGUAUUCCACCUGGGGAGUACGCCGGCAACGGUGAAACUCAAAGGAAUUGACGG
This 920-nucleotide ribosomal RNA is filed under the name uncultured bacterium. Its description in RNAcentral is "bacterial SSU rRNA". It matches the Rfam family "Bacterial small subunit ribosomal RNA", at positions 9 to 916 of the family's 1533-position model. The record is from RNAcentral.